This 495-nucleotide ribosomal RNA is filed under the name Lodderomyces parapsilosis. RNAcentral describes it as "eukaryotic LSU rRNA". The stretch from base 155 to 308 matches the Rfam family "5.8S ribosomal RNA". Lineage: Eukaryota; Fungi; Ascomycota; Pichiomycetes; Serinales; Debaryomycetaceae. The record is from RNAcentral.
GGGGUAUCGAAUGAAGUGCUUAACUGCAUUUUUUCUUACACAUGUGUUUUUCUUUUUUUGAAAACUUUGCUUUGGUAGGCCUUCUAUAUGGGGCCUGCCAGAGAUUAAACUCAACCAAAUUUUAUUUAAUGUCAACCGAUUAUUUAAUAGUCAAAACUUUCAACAACGGAUCUCUUGGUUCUCGCAUCGAUGAAGAACGCAGCGAAAUGCGAUAAGUAAUAUGAAUUGCAGAUAUUCGUGAAUCAUCGAAUCUUUGAACGCACAUUGCGCCCUUUGGUAUUCCAAAGGGCAUGCCUGUUUGAGCGUCAUUUCUCCCUCAAACCCUCGGGUUUGGUGUUGAGCGAUACGCUGGGUUUGCUUGAAAGAAAGGCGGAGUAUAAACUAAUGGAUAGGUUUUUUCCACUCAUUGGUACAAACUCCAAAACUUCUUCCAAAUUCGACCUCAAAUCAGGUAGGACUACCCGCUGAACUUAAGCAUAUCAAUAAGCGGAGGAA